This 1575-nucleotide ribosomal RNA is filed under the name Triticum aestivum (bread wheat). Its description in RNAcentral is "partial small subunit ribosomal RNA". The record is from RNAcentral. Lineage: Eukaryota; Viridiplantae; Streptophyta; Magnoliopsida; Poales; Poaceae.
AUGGCUCGGUCUGCAGCUAGCACGCUCGGCCUCGAUGCGCAGCUCCCUCCGUCGGGCGUUGGCUGCAGUCCCGCGCCUGCCUCAGCAAUCAGCGUCCGCGACCUACUUCUCCUCCGCUGCGUCGACCUCCGACCCCUGCGCGCCUGGCCUCUCCGUCGCGGCUCCACCCUGCUCCGGCCUACUACGCCUCCCGCACGGGCGCGACUUCGCCCCUACGUCGAGCUUUCCCCCCCGCACACACGCGCGGGACCGGGCCGCCUGCAGCUCUGCUCCAACCGGCCGCGCGGCCGCGCACCUCUACCGCGUCCGCCGGCCGGCCGACUCCGGCCUCGUCCGGCUCCGCCCAGCUUCCAGCUCCGCCCGGCUCCGGCUGUUGCCCCGCGGCCCCGGCCGCUGCGCCGUCCGCCUGCACGGUCUUGGUCACCGCCGACUCCACGCCAUCCGUCCGCCGCUUCGCCCCUUCAUCAGUGCGAGCCCCGCAUGCCGCGCCUGCGGCCGCUUCGAGCCGCCACUCAGAGGCCACGCUGCCGGCAAGCCCUCCUUUGCCGCCCACUCCGCGCAAAGCCGCCACACGCCCGGCCCCGGCGCCGGCUUCUCCGAGUCCCGCGUCGGCUUCGGGUGGCCGCCCCGCGCGCAGCCGCGUCCCGCCUCAGGCCGGCUCCUUCCGCGCUUGCCGGCUUCCGCUCACCAGGCCGCUGUCGUGCCUCCGGCCGGCUCCGCCUCGCCGCCGCGCCCGGCCGACUCUUGCAGCACCCGGCCGCCGGGUCACCGGCGCCCCCUCCUCCGGCUUUGUCCCGCUCCGCCCCGUUCGCUGCCCCACGCCGGUUCCUCCAUCCCGGCUGGUCGCCAACCGGCUCCGUCCGCAUGCGCUGGGUCCUUCGCCGCGCCGCCUUGUGCCGCGGCCCGAGCGUGCCGCCUCGCGCCGCUCCGCCCUCCCCUGCAAGCUGCUACCAUGGCGCGCUGACGCACCUGCGCGGGGCCCCCUCGAUCCCCUCCACGCCUUGCCUCCAUCGACUGCGCAGCGUCUGCCUUCGCCUACGCCGGGCCGCCAGGUCCCCAUGCGCCGGCUCCGUCCCGAGACGCUCCGUGUCCCGCACCGGCCAGGUCGCCGCUGCCGACUCCGCGCAUCGCGCCGGCUCCGCGCUCGGCCCUGCCUGCUCCGCGAGCCGUCCCUCCGCAACGCCUCGCCUGACGGGCUCUGACCGCCCUGCGCGCCGUGUCGGGCCGUCCGCACCAGCCGCGUCCGGCUCCUCCCGUGCCUGCGCUGACCGGCUGCCGCGCGUCCGCCUACUCCCGCGCCGGCUGCGGCGGGGACAGCCGGCUCCCGCUCGUCCCGUGGUCGGCUCGCCGCUUGCCGGCCGCGCCGCCUCGCGUCGUUCCGCCCUCCCACCUGCCGGCUGCCGCCCGCCAGCUCCGCCUCCUACAUCACCCGGACGCCGGGUCGCCGGCGCCUCUGCCCUUGGCCCGGCCGCUCUGCUCCAGCCCUUGCCGGCCCCCCCGCGUCCGUCAGGUCGCCGCCCCGUGUUGGCCAGCUUCCCCACGACCGGCCAGCCCUGCCGCCUCCCCACGCUCUGA